UUUGAUCCCUGGCUUAGAACUAACGCUGGCAGUGCGUCUUAAGCAUGCAAGUCAAACGGGAUGUAGCAAUACAUUCAGUGGCGAACGGGUGAGUAACGCGUGGAUGAUCUACCUAUGAGAUGGGGAUAACUAUUAGAAAUAGUAGCUAAUACCGAAUAAGGUCAGUUAAUUUGUUAAUUGAUGAAAGGAAGCCUUUAAAGCUUCGCUUGUAGAUGAGUCUGCGUCUUAUUAGCUAGUUGGUAGGGUAAAUGCCUACCAAGGCAAUGAUAAGUAACCGGCCUGAGAGGGUGAACGGUCACACUGGAACUGAGAUACGGUCCAGACUCCUACGGGAGGCAGCAGCUAAGAAUCUUCCGCAAUGGGCGAAAGCCUGACGGAGCGACACUGCGUGAAUGAAGAAGGUCGAAAGAUUGUAAAAUUCUUUUAUAAAUGAGGAAUAAGCUUUGUAGGAAAUGACAAAGUGAUGACGUUAAUUUAUGAAUAAGCCCCGGCUAAUUACGUGCCAGCAGCCGCGGUAAUACGUAAGGGGCGAGCGUUGUUCGGGAUUAUUGGGGCGUA
This 558-nucleotide ribosomal RNA is filed under the name Borreliella burgdorferi (Lyme disease spirochete). RNAcentral describes it as "bacterial SSU rRNA". It matches the Rfam family "Bacterial small subunit ribosomal RNA", at positions 12 to 562 of the family's 1533-position model. The record is from RNAcentral. Lineage: Bacteria; Pseudomonadati; Spirochaetota; Spirochaetia; Spirochaetales; Borreliaceae.